RNAcentral lists this long non-coding RNA (1093 nucleotides) under Salmo trutta (river trout). RNAcentral describes it as "lncRNA (ENSSTUG00000045423.1)". The record is from RNAcentral. Lineage: Eukaryota; Metazoa; Chordata; Actinopteri; Salmoniformes; Salmonidae.
CUCAUUCAAUUUAAUAAGUUACAUUGUCGAACAUACCUUUCUAGGUUCUUCCAAUUAAAUGAGACAACUUAAACUUUGCAUAUUAACCUGGAUGAAGCAACCUCUCAGGUAUUUCAAGUUUAAUACCCAGAUAGCCUACCCAGGUAGGACUAAUCAUUGGCAUUGAUUAAUUCAAUUUGCUUUUGCAAAUUCAUUCACGUCCAACUUCCACAGUACUGUACAGUACUGAUGGUUCAUUAACGUCUAUAAAUAGAUUAAAAUCGUCUUUGCAGCUCCCCACAUUCCAAAACCAAAUUUUGGAAAAUUAGGAAAAACAUUUUUCCUUUCAAAUGUUCUAAUAAUGUGCAAGCUAUCAGAGAGGGUGGUCCCCACUCGCCCGCUAAUUAGUGAACCUCCACCCGUAAAUGGAUUGAUCUCUGACCUCAGCAGCGAUACCAACCCUAAUUAUGCCAUUAGUGGAAAAGCAGACAACAAUGCUUUCCAAAAUCAACCAUCGGGCGCAGGCCUCGUAAAGGUUCUCUCCGGUCUAGCCCUGAUGUCUUGCCAUCCGAGAUUGGCAUCUGUCCAAUACCGCAGUGCGCAGCUGAAGCACGAGCAGGUAACGGUAGACAUAAAGGGACAGGUGGAGAGAACCGGGAAACCAAUGACAAAUGCAGAAAAGGGAAACAUUCUGCUAGCUAUGGAACUGCGUUUGAAAAUGGAACAAUUAAAUGUAAUUGCAAAAACGUAUGACGAUGAACAAGCACAAGCUCUUCAACAAAAUCGUUUUCUACAGGAACAAAAUCAUAUGCUACAGGAACAACUCAAUUUAGCCAAAACUAAAUACGAUGAUGUCCACGCCAAACUAGAUAAAUCUGAAGAGUUAUCUACAAACAGGAGCGCUCAACUUGACAACAUGCAUGCUGUUUUGUUGAAUGUUACUCAAAAUAACACGGUUCUCCUCAAAGCGCUGCAGACCAAAGACGAUCAGUUAAUGAACACAAUGACAAAGUUGGAUGACAAAUCACCAGAACUUAUUGAAGUCGCUGACCAAAUGAAUGAUGAGAGAAGUCAGGUGAUGAGGUUGGAAAUAUUGAUUUCUAAGCAAGCAGAG